GCGCCCGUAGCUCAGCAGGACAGAGCAGCGGACUUCUAAUCCGCGGGUCGCAGGUUCGAAUCCUGCCGGGCGCG
RNAcentral lists this transfer RNA (74 nucleotides) under Rubrobacter sp. Its description in RNAcentral is "tRNA-Arg". It matches the Rfam family "tRNA". Rfam says of the family: Transfer RNA (tRNA) molecules are approximately 80 nucleotides in length. RNAcentral also lists the same sequence under 4 other names. The record is from RNAcentral. Lineage: Bacteria; Bacillati; Actinomycetota; Rubrobacteria; Rubrobacterales; Rubrobacteraceae.